AUUGAACGCUGGCGGCAGGCUUAACACAUGCAAGUCGAGCGGGGGAAGGUAGCUUGCUACCGGACCUAGCGGCGGACGGGUGAGUAAUGCUUAGGAAUCUGCCUAUUAGUGGGGGACAACAUCUCGAAAGGGAUGCUAAUACCGCAUACGUCCUACGGGAGAAAGCAGGGGAUCUUCGGACCUUGCGCUAAUAGAUGAGCCUAAGUCGGAUUAGCUAGUUGGUGGGGUAAAGGCCUACCAAGGCGACGAUCUGUAGCGGGUCUGAGAGGAGGAUCGGCCACACUGGGAAUGAGACACGGCCCAGACUCCUACGGGAGGCAGCAGUGGGGAAUAUUGGACAAUGGGGGGAACCCUGAUCCAGCCAUGCCGCGUGUGUGAAGAAGGCCUUAUGGUUGUAAAGCACUUUAAGCGAGGAGGAGGCUACUCUAGUUAAUACCUAGGGAUAGUGGACGUUACUCGCAGAAUAAGCACCGGCUAACUCUGUGCCAGCCGCCGCCGUAA
Molecule: ribosomal RNA, 501 nt
Filed under: uncultured bacterium
Lineage: Bacteria
Description: partial 16S ribosomal RNA
Rfam family: Bacterial small subunit ribosomal RNA
Source: RNAcentral